CAGUAGCCGCGGUAAUCCGAAGGGGGCUAGCGUUGUUCGGAUUUACUGGGCGUAAAGGGCGCGUAGGCGGACUGAUAAGUCAGGGGUGAAAUCCCAAGGCUCAACCUUGGAACUGCCUUUGAUACUGUUUGUCUUGAGUUCGAGAGAGGUAAGUGGAACUGCGAGUGUAGAGGUGAAAUUCGUAGAUAUUCGCAAGAACACCAGUGGCGAAGGCGGCUUACUGGCUCGAUACUGACGCUGAGGCGCGAAAGCGUGGGGAGCAAACAGGAUUAGAUACCCCAGUAGUCCCUGUCUCUUAUAC
Molecule: ribosomal RNA, 301 nt
Filed under: uncultured bacterium
Lineage: Bacteria
Description: partial 16S ribosomal RNA
Rfam family: Bacterial small subunit ribosomal RNA
Source: RNAcentral